CAGGGGUUAGUUUAUUUAAAAUAUCGGUUUUGGGAAUCGAUGACAGAAAAAUUUUCUACCCUUGA
Molecule: transfer RNA, 65 nt
Filed under: Phlaeoba albonema
Lineage: Eukaryota; Metazoa; Arthropoda; Insecta; Orthoptera; Acrididae
Description: tRNA-Pro
Source: RNAcentral